UAGGGAAUCUUCCGCAAUGGGCGAAAGCCUGACGGAGCAACGCCGCGUGAGUGAUGAAGGUCUUCGGAUCGUAAAACUCUGUUAUUAGGGAAGAACAAAUGUGUAAGUAACUAUGCACGUCUUGACGGUACCUAAUCAGAAAGCCACGGCUAACUACGUGCCAGCAGCCGCGGUAAUACGUAGGUGGCAAGCGUUAUCCGGAAUUAUUGGGCGUAAAGCGCGCGUAGGCGGUUUUUUAAGUCUGAUGUGAAAGCCCACGGCUCAACCGUGGAGGGUCAUUGGAAACUGGAAAACUUGAGUGCAGAAGAGGAAAGUGGAAUUCCAUGUGUAGCGGUGAAAUGCGCAGAGAUAUGGAGGAACAUCAGUGGCGAAGGCGACUUUCUGGUCUGUAACUGACGCUGAUGUGCGAAAGCGUGGGGAUCAAACAGG
RNAcentral lists this ribosomal RNA (429 nucleotides) under Actinomycetes bacterium. RNAcentral describes it as "Actinobacteria bacterium partial 16S ribosomal RNA". It matches the Rfam family "Bacterial small subunit ribosomal RNA", at positions 355 to 776 of the family's 1533-position model. The record is from RNAcentral. Lineage: Bacteria; Bacillati; Actinomycetota; Actinomycetes.